CCCUUAGAGUUUGAUCCUGGCUCAGGACGAACGCUGGCGGCGCGCUUAACACAUGCAAGUCGAGCGAGAACCAGUCCUUCGGGACUGGGGACAGCGGCGAACGGGUGAGUAACACGUGAGUAAUCCACCCUCGGUACCGGAAUAGCCCGGGGAAACCCGGAUUAAUGCCGGAUGGCCCAUUUGCUCUUCGGGGCGGAUGGAAAAGAUAGCUUCGGCCUUCGACCGAGGACGAGCUCGCGGCGGAUUAGCUUGUUGGCGGGGUAACGGCCCACCAAGGCGACGAUCCGUAGCUGGUCUGAGAGGACGAUCAGCCACACUGGGACUGAGACACGGCCCAGACUCCUACGGGAGGCAGCAGUGGGGAAUCUUGUGCAAUGGGCGAAAGCCUGACACAGCGACGCCGCGUGAGGGAAGA
RNAcentral lists this ribosomal RNA (415 nucleotides) under uncultured bacterium. Its description in RNAcentral is "bacterial SSU rRNA". It matches the Rfam family "Bacterial small subunit ribosomal RNA", at positions 1 to 411 of the family's 1533-position model. The record is from RNAcentral.